AAUCCUUAUUGAAUAAUAUUAUCUCUACUUUUGUGUCACAAGGUACUGGUCUCAGAGUUACAUACUGAGUUAAUGGAACGCUACACAGUCAUCUUUAGAUGCCUGAUAGACCAACACUAUGUUUUUAGCCAUGAAAAGUGUAUUCAACCUAUGCACUAAUAAGCCCUGCUCUUGGCAGAAUGCAUUUCCACAAGCAAUAAUCUACAGUGAUUAUGAGUAAGUGACAGGAAGAGCAAACUCUGACAUAAGAAAGUUAUCCACAGAUGUCCAGGAAGUAAUGGGUAGAAUUAACCUGGAGCCUGGAAUCCUGAUGUCCAUUCCUCUAGUGAACUUGUGGGACCUCCAGUUGUCUUUUGCAUGAAUGCAAGGUUAUCCCAGCAGUAUUGAAUCUCUUCUGUGAUAAGGGGUUUUUCAGGAGUGAUGAAGGCAUCUCCACUUUCAUUGGCUGCAUGGAUGGAAGGUGCAUCGCUGAAUAUUUUUUACUUCUCCAAAGCAUUAUAUGCUGGCCGUGGCCCAAGCCUUAUAUUACCUAGGCAAGCCACAGCUGCAGUCAUUUCCCUUCAGAGACACAUCAUUUCCCCAAGACACAUCCUGUCUCAGAGGGCUAUGCUGUCUGCUGCUCCAAGCUUCUGUCCCCUUUUUCAG
This is a long non-coding RNA of Gallus gallus (chicken), 645 nucleotides long. Lineage: Eukaryota; Metazoa; Chordata; Aves; Galliformes; Phasianidae. The record is from Ensembl.